GACGAACGCUGGCGGCGUGCUUAACACAUGCAAGUCGAGCGAUGAAGUUUCUUCGGAAAUGGAUUAGCGGCGAACGGGUGAGGAACACGUGAAGAAUCUGCCCUCCACUUUGGGAUAACACAGGGAAACCUGUGCUAAUACCGAAUAUUGAAACAUAAGUGGCAUCACUGAGUUUUGAAAGAAUUUCGGUGGAGGAUGACUUCGCGGCCUAUCAGCUAGUUGGUGAGGUAAUGGCUCACCAAGGCAACGACGGGUAGCCGGCCUGAGAGGGCGAGCGGCCCCACUGGGACUGAGACACGGCCCGGACUCCUACGGGAGGCAGCAGUGGGGAAUAUUGGGCAAUGGAGGAAACUCUGACCCAGCGACGCCGCGUGCGGGAUGAAGGCCUUCGGGUUGUAAACCGCUUUCAGUAGGGAAGAAGCGAAAGUGACGGUACCUACAAAAGAAGCACCGGCUAACUAUGUGCCAGCAGCCGCGGUAA
This 481-nucleotide ribosomal RNA is filed under the name uncultured bacterium. Its description in RNAcentral is "partial 16S ribosomal RNA". It matches the Rfam family "Bacterial small subunit ribosomal RNA", at positions 28 to 523 of the family's 1533-position model. The record is from RNAcentral.